This 73-nucleotide transfer RNA is filed under the name Jynx ruficollis (rufous-necked wryneck). RNAcentral's name for it is "tRNA-Asn". The record is from RNAcentral. Lineage: Eukaryota; Metazoa; Chordata; Aves; Piciformes; Picidae.
GUUUUAGACGGAAGCCUGCAGGGUUUAGGCAUCUAGCUGUUAACUAGAGUUUUGUGGGAUCGAGGCCCACCUG